GACGAACGCUGGCGGCGUGCUUAACACAUGCAAGUCGAACGGAAAGGCCCUGCUUUUGUGGGGUGCUCGAGUGGCGAACGGGUGAGUAACACGUGAGUAACCUGCCCUUGACUUUGGGAUAACUUCAGGAAACUGGGGCUAAUACCGGAUAGGAGCUCCUGCUGCAUGGUGGGUGUUGGAAAGUUUCGGCGGUUGGGGAUGGACUCGCGGCUUAUCAGCUUGUUGGUGGGGUAGUGGCUUACCAAGCCUUUGACGGGUAGCCGGCCUGGGAGGGUGACCGGCCACAUGGGGGCUGAGGUACGGCCCAGACUCGUACGGGAGGCAGCAGUGGGGAAUAUUGCACAAUAAGCCGAGGCCUGAUGCAGCAACGCCGCGUGCGGGAUAACGGCCUUCGGGUUGUAAACCGCUUUCGCCUGUGACGAAGCGUGAGUGACGGUAAUGGGUAAAGAAGCACCGGCUAACUACGUG
This 468-nucleotide ribosomal RNA is filed under the name uncultured bacterium. RNAcentral's name for it is "partial 16S ribosomal RNA". It matches the Rfam family "Bacterial small subunit ribosomal RNA", at positions 28 to 507 of the family's 1533-position model. The record is from RNAcentral.